CGGCGUGGAUUAGGCAUGCAAGUCGAACGAUAUCCUGAGAUUUGAUCCUYCGGGUGAAAAAUCUUGGGUGACAGUGGCGGAAGGGUGAGUAACACGUGAGUAAUUUGCCUUCAAGUUGGGAAUAACAUCUCGAAAGAGAUGCUAAUACCGAAUGUGGAUAUGUUGUGGUAUCAUGAUAUAUCUAAAGGUGGGGACCUUCGGGCCUGCCGCUUGAAGAUGAGCUCGCGGCCUAUUAGCUAGUUGGUGGGGUAAUGGCCUACCAAGGCGGUGAUGGGUAGCUGGCCUGAGAGGGUGGUCGGCCACACUGGGACUGAGACACUGCCCAGACUCCUACGGGAGGCUGCAGUCGAGAAUCUUUCGCAAUGGGCGAAAGCCUGACGAAGCGACGCCGUGUGAGGGAUGAAGGUCUUCGGAUCGUAAACCUCUGUCACAUGGGACGAAAUGCGCUGGAGUUAAUAGCUCCGGUGUUUGACGGUACCAUGGGAGGAAGCCCCGGCUAAUUUCGUGCCAGCAGCCGCGGUAAUACGAAAGGGGCGAGCGUUGUUCGGAAUUAUUGGGCGUAAAGGGCGUCUAGGUGGCUUAUUAAGUUAGAUGUGAAAGCCCUCGGCUCAACUGAGGAACUGCAUCUAAUACUGAUAUGCUUGAGUCCAGGAGAAGGGAGCAGAAUUCUCAGUGUAGCGGUGAAAUGCGUAGAUAUUGAGAAGAAUACCAGUGGCGAAGGCGGCUCCCUAGCCUGAGACUGACACUAAAGCGCGAAAGCCAGGGGAGCGAACGGGAUUAGAUACCCCGGUAGUCCUGGCAGUAAACGAUGGGUACUUGGUGUUGGAGGUAUCGACCCCUUCAGUGCCGUAGUUAACACGAUAAGUACCCCGCCUGGGGAGUACGGCCGCAAGGUUGAAACUCAAAGGAAUUGACGGGGGCCCGCACAAGCGGUGGAGCAUGUGGCUUAAUACGACGCAACGCGUAGAACCUUACCAGGAUUUGACAUGUAUGGGACAGGCUAUGAAAGUAGCUCUCUCUUCGGAGCCGAUACACAGGUGUUGCAUGGCUGUCGUCAGCUCGUGUCGUG
This 1069-nucleotide ribosomal RNA is filed under the name uncultured soil bacterium PRR-1D. Its description in RNAcentral is "bacterial SSU rRNA". It matches the Rfam family "Bacterial small subunit ribosomal RNA", at positions 40 to 1069 of the family's 1533-position model. The record is from RNAcentral.